AGUAACGCGUAAAGAACUUGCCCUUUAGACUGGGAUAACAGAGGGAAACUUCUGAUAAUACUGGAUAAGUUAGUAUAUCGCAUGAUAUGCAAAUGAAAGCUACGGCACUAAAGGAGAGCUUUGCGUCCUAUUAGCUAGUUGGUAAGGUAAGAGCUUACCAAGGCGAUGAUAGGUAGCCGGCCUGAGAGGGUGGACGGCCACAAGGGGACUGAGAUACGGCCCUUACUCCUACGGGAGGCAGCAGGG
RNAcentral lists this ribosomal RNA (246 nucleotides) under uncultured Leptotrichia sp. Its description in RNAcentral is "partial 16S ribosomal RNA". It matches the Rfam family "Bacterial small subunit ribosomal RNA", at positions 109 to 354 of the family's 1533-position model. Lineage: Bacteria; Fusobacteriati; Fusobacteriota; Fusobacteriia; Fusobacteriales; Leptotrichiaceae. The record is from RNAcentral.